AGUUAAUGAACUUGAACAAGUGAUUGUUUUGAAAACAAUAAAUAGACUUAUAAAUUAAUUCUAUUAACUU
RNAcentral lists this transfer RNA (70 nucleotides) under Dendrocerus sp. ZJUH_2016009. RNAcentral describes it as "tRNA-Ser". Lineage: Eukaryota; Metazoa; Arthropoda; Insecta; Hymenoptera; Megaspilidae. The record is from RNAcentral.